AAGUACGAUCAUACCAGCACUAAUGCACCGGAUCCCAGCAGAACUCUGCAGUGAAGUGUGCUUGGGCGAGAGUAGUACAAGGAUGGGUGACCUUUUGGGAAGUCCUAAUGUUGCACUUC
RNAcentral lists this ribosomal RNA (119 nucleotides) under Phaseolus vulgaris (common bean). Lineage: Eukaryota; Viridiplantae; Streptophyta; Magnoliopsida; Fabales; Fabaceae. The record is from RNAcentral.